UACGUAGGGCGCAAGCGUUGUCCGGAAUUAUUGGGCGUAAAGAGCUCGUAGGCGGUUUGUCGCGUCUGUCGUGAAAGCCCACAGCUUAACCGUGGGUCUGCGGUGGAUACGGGCAGACUAGAGGCAGGUAGGGGAGAAUGGAAUUCCCGGUGUAGCGGUGAAAUGCGCAGAUAUCGGGAGGAACACCGGUGGCGAAGGCGGUUCUCUGGGCCUGUACUGACGCUGAGGAGCGAAAGCGUGGGGAGCGAACAGG
RNAcentral lists this ribosomal RNA (253 nucleotides) under uncultured bacterium. RNAcentral describes it as "partial 16S ribosomal RNA". It matches the Rfam family "Bacterial small subunit ribosomal RNA", at positions 524 to 776 of the family's 1533-position model. The record is from RNAcentral.